This 3008-nucleotide ribosomal RNA is filed under the name Acinetobacter baumannii. Its description in RNAcentral is "23S ribosomal RNA". It matches the Rfam family "Bacterial large subunit ribosomal RNA". The record is from RNAcentral. Lineage: Bacteria; Pseudomonadati; Pseudomonadota; Gammaproteobacteria; Moraxellales; Moraxellaceae.
GUUGUAUAGUCAAGUAAUUAAGUGCAUGUGGUGGAUGCCUUGGCAGUCAGAGGCGAUGAAAGACGUGAUAGCCUGCGAAAAGCUCCGGGGAGGCGGCAAAUAUCCUUUGAUCCGGAGAUGUCUGAAUGGGGGAACCCACCUACUUUAAGGUAGGUAUUGCAACAUGAAUACAUAGUGUUGCAAGGCGAACGAGGGGAAGUGAAACAUCUCAGUACCCUUAGGAAAAGAAAUCAAUUGAGAUUCCCUCAGUAGCGGCGAGCGAACGGGGAUCAGCCCAUUAAGUUAUGUGUGUUUUAGUGGAACGCUCUGGGAAGUGCGAACGUAGAGGGUGAUAUUCCCGUACACGAAAGGGCACACAUAAUGAUGACGAGUAGGGCGAGGCACGUGAAACCUUGUCUGAAUAUGGGGGGACCAUCCUCCAAGGCUAAAUACUCCUGACUGACCGAUAGUGAACCAGUACCGUGAGGGAAAGGCGAAAAGAACCCCUGUGAGGGGAGUGAAAUAGAUCCUGAAACCGCAUGCAUACAAGCAGUGGGAGCACCUUCGUGGUGUGACUGCGUACCUUUUGUAUAAUGGGUCAGCGACUUAUAUUCAGUAGCAAGGUUAACCGUAUAGGGGAGCCGUAGAGAAAUCGAGUCUUAAUAGGGCGUUUAGUUGCUGGGUAUAGACCCGAAACCAGGCGAUCUAUCCAUGAGCAGGUUGAAGGUUGGGUAACACUAACUGGAGGACCGAACCCACUGUCGUUGAAAAGCCAGGGGAUGACUUGUGGAUAGGGGUGAAAGGCUAAUCAAGCCUGGUGAUAGCUGGUUCUCCCCGAAAGCUAUUUAGGUAGCGCCUCGGACGAAUACCAUAGGGGGUAGAGCACUGUUUCGGCUAGGGGGUCAUCCCGACUUACCAAACCGAUGCAAACUCCGAAUACCUAUGAGUACUAUCCGGGAGACAGACUGCGGGUGCUAACGUCCGUAGUCAAGAGGAAAACAAUCCAGACCGCCAGCUAAGGCCCCAAAAUCAUAGUUAAGUGGGAAACGAUGUGGGAAGGCAUAGACAGCUAGGAGGUUGGCUUANNNNNNNNNNNNNNNNNNNNNNNNNNNNNNNNNNNNNNNNNNNNNNNNNNNNNNNNNNGAAGCAGCCACCCUUUAAAGAAAGCGUAAUAGCUCACUAGUCGAGUCGGCCUGCGCGGAAGAUGUAACGGGGCUAAAACUAUGUGCCGAAGCUGCGGAUGUAUACUUUGUAUACGUGGUAGGGGAGCGUUCUGUAAGCCGAUGAAGGUGUGUUGAGAAGCNNNNNNNNNNNNNNNNNNNNNNNNNNNNNNNNAUGCUGGAGGUAUCAGAAGUGCGAAUGCUGACGUGAGUAACGACAAAACGGGUGAAAAACCCGUUCGCCGAAAGACCAAGGGUUCCAGUCCAACGUUAAUCGGGGCUGGGUGAGUCGACCCCUAAGGCGAGGCCGAAAGGCGUAGUCGAUGGGAAAAUGGUUAAUAUUCCAUUACUUCUGUGUAAUGCGAUGAGAGGACGGAGAAGGCUAAAUCAGCCUGGCGUUGGUUGUCCAGGUGAAAGGAUGUAGGCAUGUAUCUUAGGCAAAUCCGGGGUACUCUAUGCUGAGAUCUGAUAGCAAGCUGUACUUGUACAGCGAAGUGGUUGAUGCCAUGCUUCCAGGAAAAGUCUCUAAGCUUCAGUUACACAGGAAUCGUACCCGAAACCGACACAGGUGGUCAGGUCGAGUAGACCAAGGCGCUUGAGAGAACUCUGCUGAAGGAACUAGGCAAAAUGGUACCGUAACUUCGGGAGAAGGUACGCUGUUGUUGGUGAUGGAACUCGCUUCCUGAGCUGACGACAGCCGCAGAAACCAGGCCGCUGCAACUGUUUAUUAAAAACAUAGCACUCUGCAAACACGAAAGUGGACGUAUAGGGUGUGAUGCCUGCCCGGUGCUGGAAGGUUAAUUGAUGGGGUUAGCGUAAGCGAAGCUCUUGAUCGAAGCCCCAGUAAACGGCGGCCGUAACUAUAACGGUCCUAAGGUAGCGAAAUUCCUUGUCGGGUAAGUUCCGACCUGCACGAAUGGCAUAAUGAUGGCGGCGCUGUCUCCAGCAGAGGCUCAGUGAAAUCGAAAUCGCUGUGAAGAUGCAGUGUACCCGCGGCUAGACGGAAAGACCCCGUGAACCUUUACUGCAGCUUGACACUGAACUUUGACCUUACUUGUGUAGGAUAGGUGGGAGGCUUUGAAGCUGGAACGCUAGUUCCAGUGGAGCCGUCCUUGAAAUACCACCCUGGUAAUGUUGAGGUUCUAACUCUGUCCCGUGAUCCGGGACGAGGACCGUGUCUGGUGGGUAGUUUGACUGGGGCGGUCUCCUCCUAAAGAGUAACGGAGGAGUACGAAGGUGCGCUCAGCGUGGUCGGAAAUCACGCGUAGAGUAUAAAGGCAAAAGCGCGCUUAACUGCGAGACCCACAAGUCGAGCAGGUACGAAAGUAGGUCUUAGUGAUCCGGUGGUUCUGUAUGGAAGGGCCAUCGCUCAACGGAUAAAAGGUACUCUGGGGAUAACAGGCUGAUACCGCCCAAGAGUUCAUAUCGACGGCGGUGUUUGGCACCUCGAUGUCGGCUCAUCUCAUCCUGGGGCUGAAGCAGGUCCCAAGGGUAUGGCUGUUCGCCAUUUAAAGAGGUACGCGAGCUGGGUUUAGAACGUCGUGAGACAGUUCGGUCCCUAUCUACCGUGGGCGCUGGAAAUUUGAGAGGAUCUGCUCCUAGUACGAGAGGACCAGAGUGGACGAACCUCUGGUGUACCGGUUGUGACGCCAGUCGCAUCGCCGGGUAGCUAUGUUCGGAAGGGAUAACCGCUGAAAGCAUCUAAGCGGGAAGCCUACCUCAAGAUAAGAUUUCCCUAGGACUUUAUGUCCUCUAAAGAGCCGUUCGAGACUAGGACGUUGAUAGGUUGGAUGUGGAAGCAUAGUGAUAUGUGAAGCUGACCAAUACUAAUUGCUCGUGAGGCUUGACUAUACAACACCCAAGCAGUUG